This 85-nucleotide transfer RNA is filed under the name Felis catus (domestic cat). It matches the Rfam family "tRNA". Rfam says of the family: Transfer RNA (tRNA) molecules are approximately 80 nucleotides in length. Their secondary structure includes four short double-helical elements and three loops (D, anti-codon, and T loops). Lineage: Eukaryota; Metazoa; Chordata; Mammalia; Carnivora; Felidae. The record is from Rfam by way of RNAcentral.
GCCUGGGUGGCUCAGUCGGUUGAGCAUCUGACUUCGGCUCAGGUCAUGAUCUUGUGGUUCAUGAGUUCGAGCCCCACAUCAGGCU